AAUGGACGGAAGUCUGACGGAGCAACGCCGCGUGUAUGAUGAAGGUCUUCGGAUUGUAAAGUACUGUCUUUGGGGAAGAACGGUCAUCUUGAGAAUAUUGAGGUGACAUGACGGUACCCAAGGAGGAAGCCCCGGCUAACUACGUGCCAGCAGCCGCGGUAAUACGUAGGGGGCGAGCGUUGUCCGGAAUUAUUGGGCGUAAAGGGCGCGUAGGCGGAUUUUUAAGUCCGGUGUGAAAGAUCAGGGCUCAACCCUGAGAGUGCAUCGGAAACUGGGGAUCUUGAGGACAGGAGAGGAAAGUGGAAUUCCACGUGUAGCGGUGAAAUGCGUAGAUAUGUGGAGGAACACCGGUGGCGAAGGCGACUUUCUGGACUGUAACUGACGCUGAGGCGCGAAAGCGUGGGGAGCAAACAGGAUUAGAUACCCUGGUAGUCCACGCCGUAAACGAUGAGUGCUAGGUGUAGAGGGUAUCGACCCCUUCUGUGCCGCAGUUAACACAAUAAGCACUCCGCCUGGGGAGUACGGC
This 526-nucleotide ribosomal RNA is filed under the name uncultured bacterium. Its description in RNAcentral is "bacterial SSU rRNA". It matches the Rfam family "Bacterial small subunit ribosomal RNA", at positions 370 to 886 of the family's 1533-position model. The record is from RNAcentral.